Tripterygium wilfordii is the source of this 1467-nucleotide long non-coding RNA. RefSeq lists it as uncharacterized. Lineage: Eukaryota; Viridiplantae; Streptophyta; Magnoliopsida; Celastrales; Celastraceae. The transcript is spliced from 4 exons. The record is from RefSeq and is a predicted model, not a curated record.
AUGUAUUUCUUCCCUUUCCCUUGGGUGAGUGUCAUAGCCUUGAUGAACUCAAUUUCCCUCAACUCAAAAUGGAAUUUGUUGGACAUUUGUUUAUUUUGAUUACUCAAAUUAUGGGUCAAGAGGAAAUAAUGGAGGAGGUAUAUGUAUGAUGUGGGGGUAGGACCUUGCUAAUUUUUUCUUACUCAUUCAUGUAUGCCGCUGUUUUCACAUAAUGUUGGUUAUCUUUGUUUCCUGUUCCCUUUGCAUUUCCUUAAUUUUUUUUCCCUUUCAUUCACUCUUCUCUGCUUUUAUAUGCCCUAACUACGAUUCUUACUGGGUUAUAAUUAUUAUUAUUUUUGAUUCAGGUUCAACUAUAAGGCUAUUGUUGCAAAGGCGGAUACAAACUUCCUCAUAAUAGUACAUACGUACGCUUUGCUCAAAUGCAACUGGUGAGUGACAAUUAGUCUUCAGUUUAUCUUUUUUAAGCUUAUUUCUUGCUGUGUUUUCAUUGGUUGCCUAAAAACACCAUUUGCAUGUGGAGGUGAUCAAGGUGCAAAGGUAUAAUUUUCUAUUUCGGACCUGUUACGUGAUUAGGAGAGAUUGAAAUUAAUUAGAGAAGGAACUCAAUUUCUGGCAACACAUAUUUGGUUGAUUAGUUUUCUUAAAAUUUCAAUUGUAUUGGUGGCAAAUAUACAUUACUCUGACAUGCAUGUUUAUUUUUUUCCGCUAUAGGAUGAUGAAGGAGGAUAGGCUGUGGAGCGUCUAUUUGAGUGCUUGGAAGCCAUGCAUGACAUCUCAUUAUUGGUGUUGAGUUUCCUGACUGAUACUUUUGUAUCUUUUAGACAGCUUCUCACAUUGCAUUGUUCUUCAGGUGGGGUCUUAUUACACUUAAAGCUCUUGAUCCUAACUAUGGAACACAACAAUCCUAAAGCUUAGGCUACUUUGAAACUAAAGAACUUGCAAAAAAAUACAGCUCUCUUGGCCAUCUGAUAAUCACCGCUAAACUUUUGAUCAAGAUUAACUAUUCCACUGGCCGAACUUUUGACAUCAUUGAUACACAAAACCUUAUAUUUUGGAAGACAUUCAAGCAUUCGUGAGCUUUCUUUGAUGGUAUUAAUGGCCUAUCUAUCUUACAUGUUGGCUGAGGUGAGAUUUCUAAUUGAAGCAGUGUUUAUGGGGUUUCUCGAUUUGGUUAUUAGUUGUUGUUGGGCUCAACAUUUGAAGUUUUGGAGAUGUAGAGCUUAGAGGAAAAGGUCGUUGGGCUCAAGGAAGCUGCAAGAAUACAAGACUCACUCAUGUAGUUUCAGGAAGAAGAGCUGGUUAUGCAUGACAGAGGAAUUGAUGUUAAAAGGUUUUAGCUAAUUGAUUCAAAUUUCGCAACAUAGUUAUUCAUCAUUAACAUUAUUGUUGUUCAUGAUUAUGAUGGUCUGCUUCAUAUUUUGAAAACUGUUAGUAUUAGAGACAAUUGAAUUAAAUAUCUUUUUGGCA